CAUGCCUUAAAUGACCAAGUC
Molecule: non-coding RNA, 21 nt
Filed under: Arabidopsis thaliana (thale cress)
Lineage: Eukaryota; Viridiplantae; Streptophyta; Magnoliopsida; Brassicales; Brassicaceae
Source: RNAcentral